Molecule: ribosomal RNA, 481 nt
Filed under: uncultured bacterium
Lineage: Bacteria
Description: partial 16S ribosomal RNA
Rfam family: Bacterial small subunit ribosomal RNA
Source: RNAcentral
AGUGAACGCUGGCGGCGUGCCUAACACAUGCAAGUCGAACGGACGAAGAGAGCUUGCUCUCCUAGUUAGUGGCGCACGGGUGAGUAACACGUAGCUAACCUGCCCCAUAGUACGGGACAACAGUUGGAAACGACUGCUAAUACCUUAUACUCCUUCUCUACCUAAGUAGAGUCGGGAAAGUUUUUUCGCUAUGGGAUGGGGCUGCGGCCUAUCAGCUUGUUGGGGAGGUAAUGGCUCACCAAGGCGACGACGGGUAGCCGGCCUGAGAGGGUGACCGGCCACACUGGGACUGAGAUACGGCCCAGACUCCUACGGGAGGCAGCAGUGGGGAAUAUUGCACAAUGGGCGCAAGCCUGAUGCAGCGACGCCGCGUGAGGGAUGACGGCCUUCGGGUUGUAAACCUCUUUCAGCACCGACGAAGCGCAAGUGACGGUAGGUGCAGAAGAAGGACCGGCCAACUACGUGCCAGCAGCCGCCGUAA